RNAcentral lists this ribosomal RNA (439 nucleotides) under uncultured bacterium. RNAcentral's name for it is "partial 16S ribosomal RNA". It matches the Rfam family "Bacterial small subunit ribosomal RNA", at positions 339 to 795 of the family's 1533-position model. The record is from RNAcentral.
CUACGGGGUGCUCCAGUGAGGAAUAUUGCACAAUGGGGGGAACCCUGAUGCAGCAACGCCGCGUGGAGGAUGACGCAUUUCGGUGUGUAAACUCCUUUUAUAUGUCAAGAAAAUGACGGUAGCAUAUGAAUAAGCACCGGCUAACUCCGUGCCAGCAGCCGCGGUAAUACGGAGGGUGCAAGCGUUACUCGGAAUCACUGGGCGUAAAGGACGCGUAGGCGGGUUGGAAAGUCAGGUGUGAAAUCCUACAGCUUAACUGUAGAACUGCACUUGAAACUUCUAAUCUAGAGUAUGGGUGGGGGAGAUGGAAUUAGUGGUGUAGGGAUAAAAUCCGUAGAUAUCACUAGGAAUACCUAAAGCGAAGGCGAUCUCCUGGAACAUUACUGACGCUAAGGCGUGAAAGCGUAGGGAGCAAACAGGAUUAGAUACCCGAGUAGUC